This 253-nucleotide ribosomal RNA is filed under the name uncultured bacterium. RNAcentral describes it as "partial 16S ribosomal RNA". It matches the Rfam family "Bacterial small subunit ribosomal RNA", at positions 524 to 776 of the family's 1533-position model. The record is from RNAcentral.
UACGUAGGGUGCAAGCGUUAAUCGGAAUUACUGGGCGUAAAGCGUGCGCAGGCGGUUUUGUAAGUCUGUCGUGAAAGCCCCGGGCUCAACCUGGGAAUUGCAUUUGAAACUGGGGAACUAGAGUGUGUGAGAGGGGGGUAGAAUUCCAAGUGUAGCGGUGAAAUGCGUAGAGAUGUGGAGGAACACCGAUGGCGAAGGCAGCCCCCUGGGUCAAGAUUGACGCUCAUGCACGAAAGCGUGGGGAGCAAACAGG